GGGAGUGAAGAGGAUUCCUGCCAUCGGCCUCUGGGUUUGCCCUUGGUCCCAACCCCUCACCCGGGCUGAAUGACGUGGAGGUGACUCCCUGGCUCCCUAGGCCCUGGGAGGCCCCGAGCUGCAGACGGCCCAGCUGCACCGGUGUGGGAGGAAGCCUGGGCCUGACCUGCACCCCCAGGCUCCUCCCCAGAUGGGCCACCUGGCUCCAGGCUCCUCAGGCGGCUGGGAGCAGGAGGGGCUCUUGUCAGCAGCCCCGAAGGGCCUGUGCCGGGGUGGGCAGGGUCAGGCAGGCCUGCCCACUCAGCCCAGCAGAGCAGAGACAGCCUCCAAGGGGCCCUCCCUCGCUGCCAGCCCACGCAGUGACGGUGAUUUACGCGCAGUCCUGGCUCGCAGCCGGGCUCCGUGAGCCCUUUGUGACUCCCUGGUGGCUGGCUCAGAAUGACCAAACCAGAGCAGGCUUUUUAUGGUCAUUUCUCCACCACACAUAACAUAAACCACUCGGCAGCCUGAUGAGCAUCAGGAGCGUGAUCACGCGUGGCCUGGAGGAAGAGGAGAGGGAGAGAAGAACCGUGGAAUGAAGAGAUGCGUGUGCUGGGGAGCCAUGGAGAAAAGAGCUGGGCUGGAGGAGGGUGCAGAAGAAAUGGCAGCCCAGCAGGAGCAGGGGAAGAGCAGCAGCACCGGCAGGAUGAAUGUGCAUGGGUCGGACAGCAGGUCUGCCUGCGCAAGUCGGCUCCAGCGCCUGUCCGCCAGCAGCGUCCAGGGCUCCCUCCUCUGCAUCGCGCGGUAUUGGCCGCCACUAUCUGCUGUGGUUUCUGUUGCUUCCGCUGGAUGACAGCCAUUCUAACUGGGAUGAGAUGAUCUCACUGUGAUUUUGAUUUGCAUUUUCCUGAUAAUUAGUGAUGCUGAAGAUUUCUUCAUGCACUUGGUGGCCCUGUGUACGUCUGCUGUUGAGAAAUGCUUGCUCAGAUCACUUGCUCAUUUUUAUAAUCAGAAUAUUCGUUUUGUUCCACCUCGAUAGCCAUGGAAACCAAAACACAAACCCCUACAUUUUGUCCAAUGAGGUUAAAAUAUUUCUUCUACUUUCCCAUCAUAAAAGCUGCACUUAAAAGGGAAAUGUGGAGCUUCGCUUAGCAACUGCAAACGUGCGCGAAGGCAGGCGCCCGCUCGGUCCUCCCAGCACCUGCUGUAGGAGGAAUCCAGCAGCCUCUGCACCACCAUUUCCGGGUCCUCCCAGGGAAUGGCUCUGUCACCCUCCAGCUCUGCCUGCCUCGUAGCAAUAACACAACACGUGUGUGUCCGAGGCAGCCUUUUUGACACUAAAGAGGUCUACGUAUUCUACAUGUUCUCUGGGCAGUUGGCUUUUGUUUCUCCACUGAGUUCUUCGCACUUUCUUAUUGGUUAAUAGAAGCUCUUUCUAUUGUCUGAACAGUGGCUCUCAAAUAUAUUGCAGAUAUUUUUUUCCAAUUUGUCAUCUACCUUGUAACUAUCUGGCUGGGGUUCCUGCUACGUAGAGAAUCCUACCUUCCCUCCUGGACCGCUCCCUCUUACAUCCUACCGAGAGAGGCAUCUCUGAUAUCAAGUAUAGUUCUCCUUAUGGUUUUGGACUCUAUGACUUGUGUAUAUAUCUAUUUUUAUUUUCGGGUGGAGACUAAGAAAGGAAUCCAACUUUACACCCAGUUGUCUCCAAAUCCCUUGUUGAUAAGUCCACCCUUUCCCUAGUGGAAGGUGCUCCGUUCCGGCCCAAUGUUCUGUCGCUGCCUUGGUCACAGAUCAGAGUCUGCAGCUGUCAGGGGCGCUGCCGUGACUGAGACUCCACUGCCGGCAGAGCUGAGCGAGCACCCGCCUUCUCUUGGAGUUAGAUCAGCCCGGGGUCCCAGAGUGUCUCACAGCCAGAUCUGGAGCCCCGGGCUCCAGAUGUCCUGAUGUCCCAGGACGGUUCUCUUUCCACAAGCCACUCUACUUCCCCCAGAGCCCACGGUGCCACACAGGCAGGUGUGAUGGGGUUGACUCUGGCAAUCUGACAUCAGCAGCCAGUGUGCAGGGGGGCCUUGACCGUCCUGAGGAUCGUCACUAGUGUCA
This is a long non-coding RNA of Marmota monax (woodchuck), 2079 nucleotides long. RefSeq lists it as uncharacterized. The transcript has 3 exons. NCBI's taxonomy places the organism in Eukaryota, Metazoa, Chordata, Mammalia, Rodentia, Sciuridae. The record is from RefSeq and is a predicted model, not a curated record.